This 306-nucleotide ribosomal RNA is filed under the name uncultured bacterium. RNAcentral's name for it is "bacterial SSU rRNA". It matches the Rfam family "Bacterial small subunit ribosomal RNA", at positions 28 to 334 of the family's 1533-position model. The record is from RNAcentral.
GAUGAACGCUAGCGGCAGGCUUAACACAUGCAAGUCGAGGGGUAUUAUAGUUUUCGGAUUAAUAGAGACCGGCAAACGGGUGCGGAACACGUACGCAAUCUGCCUCUGUCUUGGGAUAGCCCAUAGAAAUGUGGAUUAAUACCCAAUAGUAUUAUAGAGUGGCAUCACUUAGUAAUUAAAGAUUUAUUGGACAGAGAUGAGCGUGCGUCCCAUUAGCUAGUUGGUGCGGUAACGGCGUACCAAGGCGACGAUGGGUAGCUGGUGUGAGAGCACGACCAGCCACACGGGCACUGAGACACGGGCCCG